RNAcentral lists this ribosomal RNA (1376 nucleotides) under uncultured bacterium. RNAcentral describes it as "16S ribosomal RNA". It matches the Rfam family "Bacterial small subunit ribosomal RNA". The record is from RNAcentral.
GAGUUUGAUCAUGGCUCAGGACGAACGCUGGCGGCGUGCUUAACACAUGCAAGUCGAACGGUAAGGCCCCUUUUUUGGGGUGUACGAGUGGCGAACGGGUGAGUAACACGUGAGUAACCUACCCCGGACUUUGGGAUAACAGUUGGAAACGAUUGCUAAUACUGGAUAUGAGCUGCUGCCGCAUGGUGGUGGUUUGAAAGUUCCGGCGGUUUGGGAUGGGCUCGCGGCCUAUCAGCUUGUUGGUGAGGUGAUGGCUUACCAAGGCUUCGACGGGUAGCCGGCCUGAGAGGGCGACCGGCCACAUUGGGACUGAGAUACGGCCCAAACUCCUACGGGAGGCAGCAGUGGGGAAUAUUGCACAAUGGACGGAAGUCUGAUGCAGCAACGCCGCGUGCGGGAUGACGGCCUUCGGGUUGUAAACCGCUUUCAUCCAUGACGAAGCUUUUGUGACGGUAGUGGGUAAAGAAGCACCGGCUAACUACGUGCCAGCAGCCGCGGUGAUACGUAGGGUGCGAGCGUUGUCCGGAUUUAUUGGGCGUAAAGAGCUUGUAGGCGGUUUGUCGCGUCGGGAGUGAAAACUCGGAGCUUAACUUUGAGCUUGCUUUCGAUACGGGCUGACUUGAGGGAGGUAGGGGAGAAUGGAAUUCCUGGUGGAGCGGUGGAAUGCGCAGAUAUCAGGAGGAACACCGGUGGCGAAGGCGGUUCUCUGGACCUUUCCUGACGCUGAGAAGGCGAAAGCGUGGGGAGCGAACAGGCUUAGAUACCCUGGUAGUCACGCCGUAAACGGGGGGUAUUGGUGGGGGGAACAUUCCCCUUUCUCCGUGCGGUAGGUAACGCAUUAAGUACCCCGCGUGGGGAGUAUGCCGCACGGUCUAAAACUCAAAGGAAUUGUCGGGGCCCCGCACAAGCGGCGCCCCCCGCGGAUAAAUUAGAUGCAACGGGAAGACCGUUACAUGGGUUGGGCGUAUGCUCCCCCCCCCCCCCCCGGGGAGUGCAUUUAUGGUCGGUAAAAAAAAAGUGCAUGGCUGUCGUCAGCUCGUGUCGUGAGAUGCAGGGUUAAGUCCCGCAACGAGCGCAACCCUCGUCCAAUGUGGCCAGCGGGUUAUGCCGGGGACUCAUUGGAGACCGCCGGGGUCAACUCGGAGGAAGGUGGGGAUGACGCCACCUCCUCAUGCCCCUUAUGUCCAGGGCUUCCCCCCCCCCCCAAUGGCCGGUACAAAGAGCUGCGAGCCUGUGAGGGUGAGCGAAUCUCGGAAAGCCGGUCUCAGUUCGGAUUGGGGUCUGCAACUCGACCCCAUGAAGUCGGAGUCACGAGUAAUCGCAGAUCAGCAACGCUGCGGUGAAUACGUCCAAGGGGCUUGUACACACCGCCCGUC